GAAUUUCAGGUUAUAAUAGGAGUGGGUGGUCUGACUUCAGUACUUAUAUUAUCUUGAUGGCUUCAAUGUUAGAAAGCUGGUUCUUGUUGUUAUAUAGGAUCAGUUUUAGCACCCAUGAAUUAAUAAAACCACUGUGACAUGCACUUGGCCAUUUCAUAAUGAAAUCAGACUAGUGUGAUAGAACUUAAGCUCUUAAAAUUCAGAACAAAAAAACACAAAGAAUAGGUAAAAUCCAUCACAGAAUCA
Molecule: long non-coding RNA, 246 nt
Filed under: Setaria viridis
Lineage: Eukaryota; Viridiplantae; Streptophyta; Magnoliopsida; Poales; Poaceae
Description: long non-coding RNA (SVIR_LNC010914)
Source: RNAcentral